Molecule: non-coding RNA, 89 nt
Organism: Anas platyrhynchos (mallard)
Lineage: Eukaryota; Metazoa; Chordata; Aves; Anseriformes; Anatidae
Source: Rfam
UGGGGUUGGUACUCUUUCCUUAACUCAUGCCGCUGUGCCUUUUAAUUUUAUUUCACAAUUGUGUGAGUUGAGUACAGAGUGUCAGCCUA